CUCGUAGGCGGCCAACUAAGUCAGACGUGAAAUCCCUAGGCUCAACCUAGGAACUGCGUCUGAUACUGGAUGGCUUGAAUCCGGGAGAGGGAUGCAGAAUUCCAGGUGUAGCGGUGAAAUGCGUAGAUAUCUGGAGGAAUACCGGUGGCGAAGGCGGCAUCCUGGACCGGCAUUGACGCUGAGGAGCCGAAAAGCCAGGGGAGCAACG
This 208-nucleotide ribosomal RNA is filed under the name uncultured bacterium. RNAcentral's name for it is "partial 16S ribosomal RNA". It matches the Rfam family "Bacterial small subunit ribosomal RNA", at positions 568 to 773 of the family's 1533-position model. The record is from RNAcentral.